GAUGAACGCUGGCGGCGUGCCUAAUACAUGCAAGUCGAGCGAACAGACGAGGAGCUUGUUCCUCUGACGUUGGCGGGGGACGGGUGAGUAAGACGUGGAUCACCAACCUAUAAGUCUGGGAUAACUACGGGAAACCGGAGCUACUACUGGCUAAUACAUUCAACCGCAUGGUUCAAUAGUGAAAGACGGUUUUGCUGUCUCUUAUAGCUGGAUCCGUGCCGGAUUAGCUAGUUGGUAAGGUAACGGCUAACCAAGGCGACGAUGCGUAGCCGACCUGAGAGGAUGAUCGGCCACACUGGAACUGAGACACGGUCCAGACUCCUACGGGAGGCAGCAGUGGGGAAUAUUGGGCAAUGGGCGAAAGCCUGACCCAGCCACACCGCGUGAGUGAAGAAGGCCUUCGGGUCGUAAAGCUCUGUUGUUGGGAAAGAACAGAAGUAGGUGAAUCUAUGGACGUUUUGACGGUACCCAAAGAAAAAGCCACGGCUAACUACGUG
Molecule: ribosomal RNA, 497 nt
Filed under: uncultured bacterium
Lineage: Bacteria
Description: partial 16S ribosomal RNA
Rfam family: Bacterial small subunit ribosomal RNA
Source: RNAcentral